GCCCUGAUAUUCAACCAAGGGAAUAUUUGUUAGAAGCUUCAGUUGCUCAUGAAAAGCUUUGUGCUAAAAUGUUACACCCACAGCUGAUGAAGUCAAUUCACCAGGCUUCACCAGUUGCUCAAACAAGUUGUUUGGAAGGAUUCCAUUCUGUCCUGAAUCAUUUUGCUCCAAAAAUGAUUCAUUAUUCCUAUGUUGGAAUGUAUUGCAGACACAUUUUGGCAUCCAUCCACUUCAACAACAACAUAAGGCGUGAUGUAAAGAUGAAGAAUGAUGGCACUUUCCACCACCACCAAUGAAUGUCAUGCUGCAAAAGCAACCCAGAUCAAAGGUGCUACUAAAACAGGUCCGUCGAAAAUGCAUUGUGCUCAAUGAUGUCCCCCCCUCAAUUCCAGCAGCUACCAGUGUGCCAUUCAGCUGUCAGUCUAAAGUGGCAGUUUCAAAAGAAAAAAGUCAGCCAAAAUGUUUGACAUGCAAGAAGCCAAUGAAAGGUCACAAACAUGUGGCAGAGUGCCCAAAAAAUAGGAAAACUUAAUUUUCACAUCACUCAUUUAUUUCAUUUUCUUUGUACCCUCUAAAUUCCAACUUUUUAUCAUUAAAUUUUGAUCUUAUUGCAUGGUAUGCACAUGCUGGAAAUGGUCUUCUUUCUUGUCCUAAGCAUCCAUAAAUCAUAGAUGUGAAUUCUCUGUAUGCAACACAUCGUAAGGACCUGAAUAUAAAGCCAAAUCGUUACUAAUGUGUCAUAACACUAAAAUAUACUUAAAUACUGGGAAAUAACAUAAUAUGCUAUCAUA
This is a long non-coding RNA of Xenia sp. Carnegie-2017, 791 nucleotides long. RefSeq lists it as uncharacterized. The record is from RefSeq and is a predicted model, not a curated record. The transcript is spliced from 4 exons. Lineage: Eukaryota; Metazoa; Cnidaria; Anthozoa; Malacalcyonacea; Xeniidae.